AUUGAACGCUGGCGGCAGGCCUAACACAUGCAAGUAGAACGAGCGGCGGACGGGUGAGUAAUGUAUGGGAAUCUGCCCGAUAGAGGGGGAUAACUACUGGAAACGGUGGCUAAUACCGCAUACUAUCAGAUGAACCCAGAUGGGAUUAGCUAGUAGGUGGGGUAAAGGCUCACCUAGGCGACGAUCUCUAGCUGGUCUGAGAGGAUGAUCAGCAACACUGGGACGGAGACACGGCCCAGACUCCUACGGGAGGCAGCAGUGGGGAAUAUUGCACAAUGGGCGCAAGCCUGAUGCAGCAAUGCCGCGUGUAUGAAGAAGGCCUUAGGGUUGUAAAGUACUUUCAGCGGGGAGGCGUUACCCGCAGAAGAAGCACCGGCUAACUCCGUGCCAGCAGCCGCGGUAAUAC
RNAcentral lists this ribosomal RNA (406 nucleotides) under uncultured bacterium. Its description in RNAcentral is "partial 16S ribosomal RNA". It matches the Rfam family "Bacterial small subunit ribosomal RNA", at positions 30 to 526 of the family's 1533-position model. The record is from RNAcentral.